RNAcentral lists this ribosomal RNA (695 nucleotides) under uncultured Rickettsiella sp. RNAcentral's name for it is "bacterial SSU rRNA". It matches the Rfam family "Bacterial small subunit ribosomal RNA", at positions 86 to 774 of the family's 1533-position model. Lineage: Bacteria; Pseudomonadati; Pseudomonadota; Gammaproteobacteria; Legionellales; Coxiellaceae. The record is from RNAcentral.
GGGUGGCGAGUGGCGGACGGGUGAGUAAUAGGUAGGAAUCUGUCCUGGAGAGUGGGAUAACCCGCGGAAACGCGGGCUAAUACCGCAUGAUAUUGAGAGAUCAAAAGCAGGGGACUGUAAAAGGCCUUGCGCUCUGGGUUGAGCCUACGUCGGAUUAGCUAGUUGGUGGGGUAAAGGCCUACCAAGGCGACGAUCCGUAGCUGGUCUGAGAGGAUGACCAGCCACACUGGGACUGAGACACGGCCCAGACUCCUACGGGAGGCAGCAGUGGGGAAUCUUGGACAAUGGGGGAAACCCUGAUCCAGCGAUACCGCGUGUGUGAAGAAGGCCUUAGGGUUGUAAAGCACUUUAGUUGGGGAAGAAAGGUACAAGGGGAAUAUCCUUGUGCUGUGACGGUACCCAAAGAAUAAGCACCGGCUAACUCUGUGCCAGCAGCCGCGGUAAUACAGAGGGUGCAAGCGUUAAUCAGAAUGACUGGGCGUAAAGGGCGUGUAGGUGGUUGACUAGGUUUGAUGUGAAAUCCCCGGGCUUAACCUGGGAAUGGCGUCGAAAACGGGUUGACUAGAGUGAGGCAGAGGGUUGUGGAAUUUCCGGUGUAGCGGUGAAAUGCGUAGAUAUCGGAAAGAACAUCAGUGGCGAAGGCGACAACCUGGGUCUUAACUGACACUGAGGCGCGAAGGCGUGGGGAGCAAACA